GGGGGCGAAUGGGCUCGACAGAAGGGCUGUAGUCAGUGCUGCAUGCCGGGUCGGGCAGCCCGUAAAAAGCCCACCUAAGAAGUGCGAACGAAGUAGCACUCGCUGCAUAAGCAGCAAGCUUCCCUUUCCUGUUCCCUGUUGCGGGAAUGGGAAGUUGAAUUAAGACAGGGCUGAGGGCAGGGAAUUCCCGAGCCCUUCCCUCAGAAAGAAGUCGGGAUAGUCAUUUUUCUCCCUGCUCCAUCGGGAGGAAAAUGGCGAAAUUGAAAUAUGGAGAUAAGCAUGUAGAUGCACUGAUGAAAACCUUCUGGACGGGGGUUCAAUUCCCCCCGCCUCCACCA
Molecule: transfer-messenger RNA, 338 nt
Filed under: bacterium
Lineage: Bacteria
Rfam family: transfer-messenger RNA
About the family: Bacterial tmRNA, also known as 10Sa RNA or SsrA, is named for its dual tRNA and mRNA-like properties. Its role is to liberate the mRNA from a stalled ribosome.
Source: RNAcentral